AUUUCUCGACCUUUUGGCUAAGAUCAAAGUGUAGUAUCUGUACUUAUCAGCCUAAUAUCUGGGUGGACGUUAAGCUCCGUCUGAAAAAAAAAUAGGUGAUUACUCACAUUAAGAGCUGUGGAAACAACAAUGUGUAAAAUAAGACCGCUUGUUUUUUACCCCUCAAGGUGAUCUUACUAUUA
RNAcentral lists this small nuclear RNA (182 nucleotides) under Rhodnius prolixus. RNAcentral describes it as "U2 spliceosomal RNA". It matches the Rfam family "U2 spliceosomal RNA". From Rfam's summary of the family: U2 is a small nuclear RNA (snRNA) component of the spliceosome (involved in pre-mRNA splicing). Complementary binding between U2 snRNA (in an area lying towards the 5' end but 3' to hairpin I) and the branchpoint sequence (BPS) of the intron results the bulging out of an unpaired adenosine, on the BPS, which initiates a nucleophilic attack at the intronic 5' splice site, thus starting the first of two transesterification reactions that mediate splicing. The record is from RNAcentral. Lineage: Eukaryota; Metazoa; Arthropoda; Insecta; Hemiptera; Reduviidae.